Molecule: long non-coding RNA, 231 nt
Filed under: Brachypodium distachyon (stiff brome)
Lineage: Eukaryota; Viridiplantae; Streptophyta; Magnoliopsida; Poales; Poaceae
Description: long non-coding RNA (BDIS_LNC002535)
Source: RNAcentral
GCUCUUCUUUUCUUUUUUUCUGAGUGGAAAGGGAUUAUAUUAAGAAACUAGACCAUUACAAUCUCGGAGAACUAACAGUGCGAGACUGAUUCGCAAGAGUAUGACUAACACGAUUUUGUGAUCUAUCCACUUUCACGAAAGACACAUGCCUACCACAAGCAACCAGCAGCCUAAUCUCGGCGACAAUACUGGCAAAGCAAGAUCUAUCAGCGACACUACUAGAACCAGCUG